This 425-nucleotide ribosomal RNA is filed under the name Myotis hasseltii (Lesser large-footed bat). RNAcentral describes it as "partial 12S ribosomal RNA". It matches the Rfam family "Bacterial small subunit ribosomal RNA", at positions 875 to 1414 of the family's 1533-position model. Lineage: Eukaryota; Metazoa; Chordata; Mammalia; Chiroptera; Vespertilionidae. The record is from RNAcentral.
UUAGCCCUAAACAUAAAAAAUUAUAAACAAAAUUAUUCGCCAGAGUACUACUAGCAAUAGCUUAAAACUCAAAGGACUUGGCGGUGCCUUACAUCCCUCUAGAGGAGCCUGUUCUGUAAUCGAUAAACCCCGAUCUACCUCACCAAUCUUUGCUAAAUCAGCCUAUAUACCGCCAUCUUCAGCAAACCCUAAAAAGGAGCCAAAGUAAGCAUAAGUAUUAACAUAAAAACGUUAGGUCAAGGUGUAGCCUAUAGAUUGGAAAGAAAUGGGCUACAUUUCCCAAGUUCUGGGAAAUAAAUUUUAUACGAAAACCUAUGUGAAACCAAAAGUUAAAGGUGGAUUUAGUAGUAAAUUAAGAAUAGAGAGCUUAAUUGAACGUGGCCAUAAGGCACGCACAACACCGCCCCGUCACCCUCUGCAGUCAA